AUUGAACGCUGGCGGCAGGCCUAACACAUGCAAGUCGAACGGUAGCACAGAGAGCUUGCUCUCGGGUGACGAGUGGCGGACGGGUGAGUAACGUCUGGGAAACUGCCCGAUGGAGGGGGAUAACUACUGGAAACGGUAGCUAAUACCGCAUAACGUCGCAAGACCAAAGUGGGGGACCUUCGGGCCUCACACCAUCGGAUGUGCCCAGAUGGGAUUAGCUGAUAGGUGGGGUAAUGGCUCACCUAGGCGACGAUCCCUAGCUGGUCUGAGAGGAUGACCAGGCAAACUGGAACUGAGAAACGGUCCAGACUCCUACGGGAGGCAGCGGUGGGGAAGAUUGCACAAUGGGCGCAAGCCUGAUGCAGCCAGGCCGCGUGUAUGAAGAAGGCCUUCGGGUUGUAAAGUACUUUCAGCGGGGAGGAAGGCGGUGAAGUUAAUAACUUCACCGAUUGACGUUACCCGCAGAAGAAGCACCGGCUAACUCCGUGCCAGCCGCCGCCGUAA
RNAcentral lists this ribosomal RNA (504 nucleotides) under uncultured bacterium. RNAcentral's name for it is "partial 16S ribosomal RNA". It matches the Rfam family "Bacterial small subunit ribosomal RNA", at positions 29 to 523 of the family's 1533-position model. The record is from RNAcentral.